GCGCGGUUAUUUGUUUGCUUGUUUUUGUUUGAAUUGUUUAAUAUUUUUUCUGGUUUCAUGAGCUGUUUCUUGUUUGGAGCGUUUUAGCAAUUGCAGAUGACGAUUUAUGACGAUUGAUGACGAUGAUGAUUAAAUGCGAUGAAUAUUGAAUGGAUUAGUAAAGUGCCGAAUUUCUGGACUGGACUGGACGAUACUGACGGAGAGGCCUUUGACUGGAGAUUUGUUAUUAUGAAUGAAAUGUAUUUUAUUUCUGUAUUCCAUUUUUGCAUUGUAUGAAAUAAAUGUAUGAAAACAUUGAAAA
Molecule: long non-coding RNA, 301 nt
Organism: Culex quinquefasciatus (southern house mosquito)
Lineage: Eukaryota; Metazoa; Arthropoda; Insecta; Diptera; Culicidae
Exons: 2
Source: RefSeq, a predicted model, not a curated record